UGAAAGCGGCAAGCCUCUCAUGGGAUC
Molecule: non-coding RNA, 27 nt
Filed under: Rattus norvegicus (Norway rat)
Lineage: Eukaryota; Metazoa; Chordata; Mammalia; Rodentia; Muridae
Source: RNAcentral